This 846-nucleotide ribosomal RNA is filed under the name Escherichia coli. RNAcentral's name for it is "partial 23S ribosomal RNA". It matches the Rfam family "Bacterial large subunit ribosomal RNA", at positions 344 to 1194 of the family's 2925-position model. Lineage: Bacteria; Pseudomonadati; Pseudomonadota; Gammaproteobacteria; Enterobacterales; Enterobacteriaceae. The record is from RNAcentral.
GGAAAGGCGCGCGAUACAGGGUGACAGCCCCGUACACAAAAAUGCACAUGCUGUGAGCUCGAUGAGUAGGGCGGGACACGUGGUAUCCUGUCUGAAUAUGGGGGGACCAUCCUCCAAGGCUAAAUACUCCUGACUGACCGAUAGUGAACCAGUACCGUGAGGGAAAGGCGAAAAGAACCCCGGCGAGGGGAGUGAAAAAGAACCUGAAACCGUGUACGUACAAGCAGUGGGAGCUCGCUUAGGCGUGUGACUGCGUACCUUUUGUAUAAUGGGUCAGCGACUUAUAUUCUGUAGCAAGGUUAACCGAAUAGGGGAGCCGAAGGGAAACCGAGUCUUAACUGGGCGUUAAGUUGCAGGGUAUAGACCCGAAACCCGGUGAUCUAGCCAUGGGCAGGUUGAAGGUUGGGUAACACUAACUGGAGGACCGAACCGACUAAUGUUGAAAAAUUAGCGGAUGACUUGUGGCUGGGGGUGAAAGGCCAAUCAAACCGGGAGAUAGCUGGUUCUCCCCGAAAGCUAUUUAGGUAGCGCCUCGUGAAUUCAUCUCCGGGGGUAGAGCACUGUUUCGGCAAGGGGGUCAUCCCGACUUACCAACCCGAUGCAAACUGCGAAUACCGGAGAAUGUUAUCACGGGAGACACACGGCGGGUGCUAACGUCCGUCGUGAAGAGGGAAACAACCCAGACCGCCAGCUAAGGUCCCAAAGUCAUGGUUAAGUGGGAAACGAUGUGGGAAGGCCCAGACAGCCAGGAUGUUGGCUUAGAAGCAGCCAUCAUUUAAAGAAAGCGUAAUAGCUCACUGGUCGAGUCGGCCUGCGCGGAAGAUGUAACGGGGCUAAACCAUGCAC